This 754-nucleotide ribosomal RNA is filed under the name uncultured bacterium. Its description in RNAcentral is "bacterial SSU rRNA". It matches the Rfam family "Bacterial small subunit ribosomal RNA", at positions 72 to 795 of the family's 1533-position model. The record is from RNAcentral.
UCUUUAUCACCGAGUGCUUGCACUCACCGAUAAAGAGUUGAGUGGCGAACGGGUGAGUAACACGUGGGCAACCUGCCCAAAAGAGGGGGAUAACACUUGGAAACAGGUGCUAAUACCGCAUAACCAUAGUUACCGCAUGGUAACUAUGUAAAAGGUGGCUAUGCUACCGCUUUUGGAUGGGCCCGCGGCGCAUUAGCUAGUUGGUGGGGUAAAGGCUUACCAAGGCAAUGAUGCGUAGCCGAACUGAGAGGUUGAUCGGCCACAUUGGGACUGAGACACGGCCCAAACUCCUACGGGAGGCAGCAGUAGGGAAUCUUCCACAAUGGGCGAAAGCCUGAUGGAGCAACGCCGCGUGGGUGAAGAAGGUCUUCGGAUCGUAAAACCCUGUUGUUAGAGAAGAAAGUGCGUGAGAGUAACUGUUCACGUUUCGACGGUAUCUAACCAGAAAGCCACGGCUAACUACGUGCCAGCAGCCGCGGUAAUACGUAGGUGGCAAGCGUUAUCCGGAUUUAUUGGGCGUAAAGGGAACGCAGGCGGUCUUUUAAGUCUGAUGUGAAAGCCUUCGGCUUAACCGGAGUAGUGCAUUGGAAACUGGGAGACUUGAGUGCAGAAGAGGAGAGUGGAACUCCAUGUGUAGCGGUGAAAUGCGCAGAUAUAUGGAAGAACACCAGUGGCGAAAGCGGCUCUCUGGUCUGUAACUGACGCUGAGGUUCGAAAGCGUGGGUAGCAAACAGGAUUAGAUACCCUGGUAGUC